GGUGCUUCCUGCACACCAUGUGCCGCGCUAACCUCUUAAGACAAGGUCAUGCACACAACCUGAGCGCGUGCCUUGCCGCUUGGCUGUGCCAUGACCUUGUAAUGUGCAUGCAACCUGACCUAAAAUAACCUCUAUGACCAAAACGCAUGCCCAUCUCGCACAUAUAUGCAUGACUCACGACCACUAUUCAACACUAUUUAACUUCCAGAAUCAUGACCUAUCUUUCAAAAAUCAUAACUUAAAAUACAUAACUUUUUUUAUAAAACUGCCUUCUACAAAGUUGCUUUAAAUUUUCUUAGCUUUCUUACUUCAAAUUUUCAAAGACAAAUUCCAAGUAAUAAGUCUUGUAGCUUUCUUGAAGUGUGUCUUGCUCAGAUGCACCCGAGAAAUGACCUCGCCUUCCCUUGAUUAAAAUGCAAACUUCCUUUAAUCCAAGAUUAAUGCACAACAAUCCUCUCUUAUAAACUAGACUCAAUUUAUGAACUUUUAAGACCAAUUUGAGUGAUUUUUUAUCAGUAAGUUAUGAGAAUUAAAUACUGAAGUUGGCCUGUUUAUAAAGUCUCUUGCAUGAGAUUAAGGUGACACUUAUCUUUGAUUCGAAUCACCUCUUGAGCAUGUACUUACAUCUUAGCAAGUCCUCCAUGCCCUCUUUGGCCACAAAAUGAAUGAUGAUAUGGUUAAGACAGUUGGACUUACUUUUAGCCGAAUGCCCUCAUCAUGCUACAUCCUGAUGGAAAGCAUACAAACGCAACGGAAAAACGAAUCAAUUUUACUCUAUAUGCAACUAAAUUAUUUAGUGAAAAACAUGCUUGAAAAGCCCUAAUUAAAAAAAAUUAGGGUAAAGAAAAUAUACCUUUGAUGCUUUAAUUCUCAAUAUCUCCUCACGUACUAAAACCAGGACAACCAGUACUGGAAUUGAUCUGCUAAUCUCCAGGCUUAGAACUGGAUCGUGGGACCAAAUUAGUUGAAGGGUCUAAGGGAGAUGUAUGGAAAUUUGAAGGUAAAAGUUUGGUUGAAAUUUUGGAGAGUAAUGAUUUUGUAAUUUCCAAAAUUACUAGAAAAUGGCAAAACUUUUUAAUGAAAAAGAAAACAACUCUACUUAUAACCUAAUUACAUGCAAAAUUGUUAGUGGAACUUAGUGGGAUAGGUGUCUACGUCUAAUGUAGCCACAUAUCCCACUGAGUGUUAAUGGGAUUAUCCAACAAAAUGUUGGAUUUUUCCACUAACUUAGUCCAAG
Molecule: long non-coding RNA, 1237 nt
Filed under: Cucumis sativus (cucumber)
Lineage: Eukaryota; Viridiplantae; Streptophyta; Magnoliopsida; Cucurbitales; Cucurbitaceae
Description: long non-coding RNA (CSAT_LNC002775)
Source: RNAcentral